Molecule: long non-coding RNA, 954 nt
Organism: Python bivittatus (Burmese python)
Lineage: Eukaryota; Metazoa; Chordata; Lepidosauria; Squamata; Pythonidae
Source: RefSeq, a predicted model, not a curated record
AAAGUGGGCGAGUGGCUUUCCUUUAGACUUAUAUCUCGCUUUUCCUGCGGGAGGCCGUUUGGGCGAAAGCUGCGCCGUGUGCAGAGUCGCGCGCAUCCUUUGGAUGACCCUCGCUCUCGCGCUGCCCCUUCAAUCCAGAUCGGAUCACACAGCUGGCAUGAUUCUUCAUUUAAAGUUCUGAUCAGGCUUCAUCCCCGCCACCCGCCAGAGCUCAAGUGCCGUCCCACUCACGAGAAUCAGCCUCGGGUCUGCAAAGGAGGCCCUCCUGCGUGCAGUGACCAAUUGCCACCUUCCCCUGAAAUAUCCUUGGAUACCAGCAUUCGCUCCAGGCAGAAAAGAAAAUUCUGAUACCGUUUGGGGCCACAGCAAAGCACGAGGCAUCUGGGUGAGUAAAGCCGCACGGAGAGAGUUUGAAGGUGGACCUUCCGAAAAAGGCUUGGUUCCAUGUUCAUGAUCAACGAAUUCACAAACAGAGAUAUCCUUUAAUAUUCUGCCUGCGUGGUGGGAUCACCACAAUGCUUUUUUUCCUGAACAACCCAGGAAGAUUCAGGAGGCAGAAGAGUCAGAGGGGUGAUGCUGAGAGGCUCCAACUGGCUCAGUCUGAGCCAGGAGGGGUUAAAACCCUGCAGAGGGUUCUGUGCGGGAGAAAUUGCUUUCUUACAGGCAGGCCUCGACGUACCAUGAAAGUGCCGGAGGAAAUUCUCUACCCUGCCUCCCUGCUGGGCAAAACAAGAGACCUUUUUGAUCCAGAUUGAUUAGGCGGGGGAGAAAAGGAAGAGAGUAUCAAAUACUUUUCCUUAAUAUAAGCUUUCUGACGCAUACAAAAAUACUGUAUUUUGCCAAAACAAAAAUGCUUUCAAUUGGAACAGUGACUUUUCAUCCUAUCAGGAAUCUAACUCACCUGGUAAAACUUACUCAGAUUUUGCAUAGAAAUAAAAAACGGAAGCCAUUGCC